This is a long non-coding RNA of Bos taurus (domestic cattle), 2047 nucleotides long. The record is from Ensembl. NCBI's taxonomy places the organism in Eukaryota, Metazoa, Chordata, Mammalia, Artiodactyla, Bovidae.
UUCUCAACGACCUAUUUGAAUAGUAGAAAUAAGAUGACUUGGAAUGUUAGGAAAACCCUGUGACCCCAAUAGUUUGUUCUUUUGAGAUAUACAUUUUUUAGUAGAGAGAGAAAAAUCCUGUGGUUAUCACAGUUUUACUCAAAUCUGUAUCUCUGAAGUCAGCCAUCCAUAGGAUGAAAUUUAAUGUAGUUUCACACAAAAUUCCACGCUGUUCUACCAUCUAUGUCUUGUUGCAUUUUCCAAAUGUUUCACAAAGUUUCUCUGAUCUGAGCAUUUUUGACACCAUUGGUGUGGCUAUGAGAAAUUACAGUCAUAUCCAUUUUUUAGUGGGUGAAAAGAAGCCUGAUAGUUUCCAAAUGUAAAAUAAACUCUUAGUAGCAGAUAAAUGAGUUUUUAAAAACUGGCUAUUAUAGCUGCUCUAUUGAAAGUUUUUAAAGCAUCAGAAGUGAAGUUAGAUCAGAUCAGAUCAGUCGCUCAGUCGUGUCCGACUCUUUGCGACCCCAUGAAUCGCAGCACCCCAGGCCUCCCUGUCCAUCACCAACUCCCGAAGUUCACUGAGACUCAUGUCCAUCGAGUCAGUGAUGCCAUCCAGCCAUCUCAUCCUCUGUUGUCCCCUUCUCCUCCUGCCCCCAAUCCCUCCCAGCAUCAGAGUCUUUUCCAAUGAGUCCACUCUUCGCAUGAGGUGGCCCAAGUACUGGAGUUUCAGCUUUAGCAUCAUUCCUUCCAAAGAAAUCCCAAGCUUAAUAAGACAUUGAUAGAAAUGUCUAAUUUCCUCCAGAAAAAAAUUAUUCUGAAAAGAAUUUGAAAAGGAAUAGAUACAUGUAUACAUAUAACUGAAUCACUUUGCUACUGAAUCACUUUGUACACCUGAAAGUAACACAUUGCUAAUCAACUGUGUGUGUACAGUUGCUCAGUCAUAUCCAACUCUUUGUGACCCUCUGGACUGUAGCCCGCCAGGCACCCCUGUCCAAGGGAGUUCCCAGAAGAGAAUACUGGAGGGGUUGCCAUUUCCUUCUUCAGGGGAAUCUUCCCAACCCAAGGUCGAAUCCGCAUCUUUUGCAUCUCCUGCAUUGCAGGUGGAGUCUUUACCAAUGAGCCACCAGGGGAAGGCCAUUAAUCUAUUGUACUCCAAUAUAAGACCAAAAAAAAAAAAUAUUCUGGUAAACAUGAAAGACCAGAAGGAAAAAACAUCCUCAGAAGAAGACCUGAGAAAAAAAGUAACUUGAGUGACAAAACAGAGCUGUCCUGUUCACUGAAGGCUGUUGAACAGAAUCUAACCUCUGUUCAGUAGAUGCCAAUAAUACCCUUGACAGUUGUGACAACCAAGUCUCUAGAAGAUGUAGGUGUGAGGACUGGAUGAAGACUGUCGAAAGAUAUAAAAUUCCAGUUAUAAGUAAGUACUUGCUAAGUUGCUAAGUCACUUCAGUUGUGUCUGACUCUGUGUGACCCCAUAGACAGCAGCCCACCGGGCUCCCCUGUCCCUGGGAUUCUCCAGGCAAGAACACUGGAGUGGGCUGCCAUUUCCUUCUCCAGUACAUGAAAGCGAAAAGUGAAAGUGAAGUCACUCAGUCGUGUCUGACUUAGUGACCCACGGACUGCAGUCUACCAGGCUCCUCCAUCCAUGGGAUUUUCCAGGCAAGAGUACUGGAGUGCGGUGCCAUUGCCUUCUCCAAAGCAUGCAGAAUCACAGCUCCCUGAUCAGGGAUCAAACCUGCACCCCCUGCAUUGGAAGGCGAAGUGUUAACAGCUGGAACGCCACGGAAGUCCUUCUUUUUCCUCACAUAAAUUCACUUCCAGGAAAUAAUCAAGAGACAUUUGAAUAGUUGCCAAAAAAAGGGAAGUAAGAAAUGUCUCACAGUUAGAGAAGGAUUAUGUAGUCAUUAAGAGGUAAUUAAAAGUUUUAAAGAUUUCCUUUUUGCAGUAAAUGUACAUCCAGAGAGGCAUUAUCAUGUAUAUUUUGUAAAUGAAAUUUGAUUUGUACCCAGUUGUAGGCGCACUAUGAUUGAAUUGAACAGGCGCAACACAAAAUUGAGUAGCUAAAAGAAAU